RNAcentral lists this ribosomal RNA (253 nucleotides) under uncultured bacterium. RNAcentral's name for it is "partial 16S ribosomal RNA". It matches the Rfam family "Bacterial small subunit ribosomal RNA", at positions 524 to 776 of the family's 1533-position model. The record is from RNAcentral.
GACGUAGGGGGCCAGCGUUGCUCGGAAUUACUGGGCGUAAAGGGUUCGUAGGCGGGAAGAUAAGUUAAGUGUGAAAUCCCUAGGCUCAACCUAGGACGUGCAUUUAAAACUGUUUUUCUUGAGUGUUGGAGAGGGUAGUGGAAUUGCUGGUGUAGGAGUGACAUCCGUAGAGAUCAGCAGGAACAUCAGAGGCGAAAGCGACUGCCUGGCCAAACACUGACGCUGAGGAACGAAAGCGUGGGGAGCAAACAGG